UACAGAGGUCUCAAGCGUUGUUCGGAUUCAUUGGGCGUAAAGGGUGCGUAGGUGGCGCUGUAAGGCGGGUGUGAAAUUUCGGAGCUUAACUCCGAAACUGCAUUCGAUACUGCGGUGCUUGAGGACUGGAGAGGAGACUGGAAUUCAUGGUGUAGCAGUGAAAUGCGUAGAGAUCAUGAGGAAGACCAGUGGCGAAGGCGGGUCUCUGGACAGUUCCUGACACUGAGGCACGAAGGCCAGGGGAGCAAACGGG
Molecule: ribosomal RNA, 253 nt
Filed under: uncultured bacterium
Lineage: Bacteria
Description: partial 16S ribosomal RNA
Rfam family: Bacterial small subunit ribosomal RNA
Source: RNAcentral